GAUAUACCGGUUUUCCGUUAGGUGACCUGCGGAGGUCAUUAUUGAAUUAGCGAGGGCUGUCUGCUGGCCCCUUCGGGGGCAUGUGCACGUCCGAGCCGUUUAAAUCAACACCUGUGAACUCACCGUAGGCCUUCGGGCUUAUGUAUCAUAAUAUACUCAGAUCAUAGAAUGUAUGUUUUGCCUUUAAAAAAGCAAUCCAAUUCCACUUUCAACAACGGAUCUCUUGGCUCUCGCAUCCAUGAAAAACGCAGCGAAAUGCGAUAAGUAAUGGGAAUUGCAGAUUUUCCGUGAAUCCUCCAAUCUUUGAACCCCCCUUGCGCUCCUUGGUAUUCCCAGGAACAUGCCUGGUUGAAUGGCAUUAAAUCCUCAACCCCCUCCGGUGGUCCGGGCUUGGACUUUGGAAUGGGCUGGCCAAAGGCGGCUCCUCUUUAAAUGCAUCAGUGGAAGAAAACCUUUUUCCCCCUUCAGCGUGAUAACUGCCUUGCCCUGUGGUCGUGAAAAGGUCCGCUCAUAAUCCUCCUCUGGGACAAACACCAAAUCUGGUUUGACCUCCGAUCAAGUAAGACUACCCGCUGAACUUAAGCAUAUCCAUAGCCGGAAGAAAA
Molecule: ribosomal RNA, 605 nt
Filed under: uncultured fungus
Lineage: Eukaryota; Fungi
Description: eukaryotic LSU rRNA
Rfam family: 5.8S ribosomal RNA (bases 204-358)
Source: RNAcentral